AGAAAUCUAAUAACUAAAGCAGAAAAUUUGAACAACCUAAGGUUUAGAGAAAGUAAUGUAAAGGUAAUGUAUAACAAAAAGUGUGGUAAUUAAGAAUAUUAGUAUUAACAUAUACAUGGUGAUUAGUUUUUUGUUGCAUCAUUCAUAUCACAAGAUACUUAAAUAUAAGUAUUAACUGAAGAAAAAUCCUUCAGUAUUUCAAGUUCUUAAUCACCAUGAACUGAAAAAAGUUAUUGAAAAGUGACUGGUAGUUGUUUUCAUGAAGUAUGCCAAGGGAGAUAACUCUAAUCACAUUGAGAGGAGGUCCAUUUUAAAGCAUUUAAAACUAGUUAAGAUUGUUUUUAAUUAUAUUUAUUUCGGUAUUUAAGAUAUGUAUUUAAAUGAGCUAAUUUAUGUGUAUGCCUUCUCUUAAUCUUGUUUCUUGGUAUAUAAUUUUGAUAAACAUUUUUUUCAGCAUUUCUUUAAAAUGAUAACAUAACUUAAAGAAAUCAAAAACUUUUCCAAUAUAACAUUAGCCAUAGUCGUGCUUACAUCAAUUACAGAUAACUUUUCAUUUUUCCAAAAACUGGUUAUGAUGUUGGAUGCCAUUUCUUUUAACAAUAAGUUGUAACCGCAUGAAUCCCUAUAAGCACACUAAACUUCUAAGUGUAUUCUAAGUCAUACACCAUAUAUAUUACAAAUUUGUGAAGAAAAUUUUGAUUAAAAAUAAUUUUACUCAUCUGUACUCUGUAGAUCCUAUGUACUGCACCUGGACUGAAGACAAACACUGCACCUGGACUGAAGACAAACACUGCACCUGGACUGAAGACAAACACUGCACCUAGACUAAAGACUUUAGACAUAAUAUCCAAGUUAAAUGGGACUAGUGACCACUGGAACUAGCUCCUUCAAAAAACAUAGUCAUUAUUGACCUCUAUAUUGAUGUGUUAUGAUGAAAUCAUGUUUUUGAUAGUUGCAUUGAUAAAUGUUCAUGCAUUAAAACAUUGGAUUGACUUUGACCCAAGACUUAUUAUAGUUUCUCCAGAGUAUAAAUGAGUUUGUCAAUUUUAAGUGUUUAGAAAAUUUAAUUUUAAUAUUUACCAAUUUGUGAAAUUUGAUAGCAAGGCUAAUGGCUGGUGCACCAAAAUAGAUUUUCAUAAUUGGCUGUAUUUUCACUGAUAAAAAAUUCUGAAAAAUUGUAACAGCAAAUAGCUUCUCUUUAAAGCUGAUAUAAAUUAAGAGCUUUUGUUAAAUUUCUUUAAUUUAUGUUGCCCUCCUUGACGGAAGAAGACACAUUCAUGGCAGAUAGCAAAGUCAUAAUGUACGUAUUUCCUUAAAACUAUGUUCAUGUUUGUAAACAAAAUGGAUCAUUUUUGUCGAGCCUGCAACUUUUGUAGCAGAAAAUUUGACAGGGAUAUUGAUCUGGUGGCGGUGUUAGCUUUAUAUAUUAGAAGGUGGAAGACCUGUAUGCUUCAUACUUUGUAUAUAGAUGCCUCAUGUUGCGAAGUUUCCAUUGGUCACAUUGUCUUAUGUCCUUGACCUCAUUUUCAUGGUUCAGCGACUACCUUAAAAAAAAGAUUUUUUAUGCCCCACCUACGAUAGUAGAGGGGCAUUAUGUUUUCUGGUCUGUGGCUCCGUUCGUCCGUCCGUCCAUCCGUCUGUGCUUCCGUUCGUCCGUCCGUUCAGGUUAAAGUUUUUGGUCAAGGUAGUUUUUGAUGAAGCUGAAGUCCAAUCAACUUGAAACUUAGUAAACUUGUUGCUUAUGAUAUGAUCUUUUUAAUUUUAAAGCCAAAUUAGACUUUUGACCCCAAUUUCA
This 1795-nucleotide long non-coding RNA is filed under the name Mytilus galloprovincialis (Mediterranean mussel). The record is from RNAcentral. Lineage: Eukaryota; Metazoa; Mollusca; Bivalvia; Mytilida; Mytilidae.